CCUACGGGGGGCUGCAGUGGGGAAUAUUGGACAAUGGGCGAAAGCCUGAUCCAGCCAUGCCGCAUGUGUGAAGAAGGCCUUCGGGUUGUAAAGCACUUUCAGUGGGGAAGAAAGCCUUGGGGCUAAUACCCUCGAGGAAGGACAUCACCCACAGAAGAAGCACCGGCUAACUCCGUGCCAGCAGCCGCGGUAAUACGGAGGGUGCGAGCGUUAAUCGGAAUUACUGGGCGUAAAGCGCGCGUAGGCGGUCUGAUAAGCCGGUUGUGAAAGCCCCGGGCUCAACCUGGGAACGGCAUCCGGAACUGUCAGGCUAGAGUGCAGGAGAGGAAGGUAGAAUUCCCGGUGUAGCAGUGAAAUGCGUAGAGAUCGGGAGGAAUACCAGUGGCGAAGGCGGCCUUCUGGACUGACACUGACGCUGAGGUGCGAAAGCGUGGGUAGCAAACAGGAUUAGAUACCCUGGUAGUC
This 465-nucleotide ribosomal RNA is filed under the name Vreelandella stevensii. Its description in RNAcentral is "partial 16S ribosomal RNA". It matches the Rfam family "Bacterial small subunit ribosomal RNA", at positions 338 to 795 of the family's 1533-position model. The record is from RNAcentral. Lineage: Bacteria; Pseudomonadati; Pseudomonadota; Gammaproteobacteria; Oceanospirillales; Halomonadaceae.